This 87-nucleotide transfer RNA is filed under the name Cnuella takakiae. Its description in RNAcentral is "tRNA-Phe". It matches the Rfam family "tRNA". From Rfam's summary of the family: Transfer RNA (tRNA) molecules are approximately 80 nucleotides in length. Their secondary structure includes four short double-helical elements and three loops (D, anti-codon, and T loops). The record is from RNAcentral. Lineage: Bacteria; Pseudomonadati; Bacteroidota; Chitinophagia; Chitinophagales; Chitinophagaceae.
GCCUGGGUGGCGAUAUUGUUAGACGCAGCAGACCGAAAAUCUACCGUUCGCAAGAAUGUGCCGGUUCAAGUCCGGCCCCGGGCACAA